Long non-coding RNA from Mangifera indica (mango), 238 nucleotides. RefSeq lists it as uncharacterized. The record is from RefSeq and is a predicted model, not a curated record. The transcript is spliced from 3 exons. Lineage: Eukaryota; Viridiplantae; Streptophyta; Magnoliopsida; Sapindales; Anacardiaceae.
AGGAAGAUCUUCCUGUUUAAAUCAACGGCAUUAGGCUUCCUGUCGAUACCUUAACACUUUGAGUUCGACAAAGAAGUGUGCUCAUGGCAGUGAAAAUGCAGGGGAAUACAGAGCAUGGAAUUGUAGCGGAAAAAGAAAAGCAGACAAGGUGAGCAAUUUCAGUGUGGCAAGGUAGCGCCGAUGGACGCUUAGCAAAGGGGACGCAUGUGAUAUGCUCAUAAUUUUGGUUCUGAAUUCC